Molecule: small nucleolar RNA, 125 nt
Organism: Nannospalax galili (Upper Galilee mountains blind mole rat)
Lineage: Eukaryota; Metazoa; Chordata; Mammalia; Rodentia; Spalacidae
Source: Ensembl
AGUGUUUGUGUGUGUUUUGUUGAACUUGUGGACAAAGACUUAAAGACAGGUGCAAAAUUAAACCUUCUUUUGUAAGCCAGGUUUCAUUAUUCAGUAUGGGAAUUUGAUGGUGAAAAAACUGCAUU